GACGAACGCUGGCGGCGUGCCUAAUACAUGCAAGUAGAACGCUGAAGAGAGGAGCUUGCUCUUCUUGGAAGAGUUGCGAACGGGUGAGUAACGCGUAGGUAACCUGCCUUGUAGCGGGGGAUAACUAUUGGAAACGAUAGCUAAUACCGCAUAACAAUGGGUGACCCAUGUCAUUCAUUUGAAAGGGGCAACUGCUCCACUACAAGAUGGACCUGCGUUGUAUUAGCUAGUAGGUGAGGUAACGGCUCACCUAGGCGACGAUACAUAGCCGACCUGAGAGGGUGAUCGGCCACACUGGGACUGAGACACGGCCCAGACUCUUACGGGAGGCAGCAGUAGGGAAUCUUCGGCAAUGGGGGCAACCCUGACCGAGCAACGCCGCGUGAGUGAAGAAGGUUUUCGGAUCGUAAAGCUCUGUUGUAAGUCAAGAACGAGUGUGAGAGUGGAAAGUUCACACUGUGACGGUAGCUUACCAGAAAGGGACGGCUAACUACGUGCCAGCAGCCGCGGUAAUACGUAGGUCCCGAGCGUUGUCCGGAUUUAUUGGGCGUAAAGCGAGCGCAGGCGGUUUGAUAAGUCUGAAGUUAAAGGCUGUGGCUCAACCAUAGUUCGCUUUGGAAACUGUCAAACUUGAGUGCAGAAGGGGAGAGUGGAAUUCCAUGUGUAGCGGUGAAAUGCGUAGAUAUAUGGAGGAACACCGGUGGCGAAAGCGGCUCUCUGGUCUGUAACUGACGCUGAGGCUCGAAAGCGUGGGGAGCGAACAGG
Molecule: ribosomal RNA, 765 nt
Filed under: uncultured Streptococcus sp.
Lineage: Bacteria; Bacillati; Bacillota; Bacilli; Lactobacillales; Streptococcaceae
Description: bacterial SSU rRNA
Rfam family: Bacterial small subunit ribosomal RNA
Source: RNAcentral